Molecule: ribosomal RNA, 253 nt
Filed under: uncultured bacterium
Lineage: Bacteria
Description: partial 16S ribosomal RNA
Rfam family: Bacterial small subunit ribosomal RNA
Source: RNAcentral
GACAGAGGGUGCGAGCGUUAAUCGGAAUUACUGGGCGUAAAGGGUGUGUAGGCGGUUAAAUAAGUUAGAUGUGAAAGCCCUGGGCUUAACCUAGGAAUAGCAUUUAAUACUGUUUGACUGGAGUGCAGUAGAGGGGAGUGGAAGUUCCGGAGUAGCGGUGAAAUGCGUAGAUAUCGGAAGGAACACCAGUGGCGAAGGCGACUCUCUGGACUGUUACUGACGCUGAGACACGAAAGCGUGGGGAGCAAACAGG